RNAcentral lists this ribosomal RNA (604 nucleotides) under Neofusicoccum sp. LH107. RNAcentral's name for it is "eukaryotic LSU rRNA". The stretch from base 234 to 387 matches the Rfam family "5.8S ribosomal RNA". Lineage: Eukaryota; Fungi; Ascomycota; Dothideomycetes; Botryosphaeriales; Botryosphaeriaceae. The record is from RNAcentral.
UGGAAGUAAAAGUCGUAACAAGGUUUCCGUAGGUGAACCUGCGGAAGGAUCAUUACCGAGUUGAUUCGAGCUCCGGCUCGACUCUCCCACCCAAUGUGUACCUACCUCUGUUGCUUUGGCGGGCCGCGGUCCUCCGCACCGGCGCCCUUCGGGGGGCUGGCCAGCGCCCGCCAGAGGACCAUAAAACUCCAGUCAGUGAACUUCGCAGUCUGAAAAACAAGUUAAUAAACUAAAACUUUCAACAACGGAUCUCUUGGUUCUGGCAUCGAUGAAGAACGCAGCGAAAUGCGAUAAGUAAUGUGAAUUGCAGAAUUCAGUGAAUCAUCGAAUCUUUGAACGCACAUUGCGCCCCUUGGUAUUCCGAGGGGCAUGCCUGUUCGAGCGUCAUUUCAACCCUCAAGCUCUGCUUGGUGUUGGGCCCCGUCCUCCACGGACGCGCCUUAAAGACCUCGGCGGUGGCGUCUUGCCUCAAGCGUAGUAGAAAACACCUCGCUUUGGAGCGCACGGCGUCGCCCGCCGGACGAACCUUUGAAUUAUUUCUCAAGGUUGACCUCGGAUCAGGUAGGGAUACCCGCUGAACUUAAGCAUAUCAAUAAGCGGAGGA